CACGUAGGGUGCGAGCGUUGUCCGGAAUUAUUGGGCGUAAAGAGCUCGUAGGCGGUGUGUCGCGUCGGCCGUGAAAACUUGGGGCUUAACCCUGAGCUUGCGGUCGAUACGGGCAUGACUGGAGUUCGGCAGGGGAGACUGGAAUUCCUGGUGUAGCGGUGAAAUGCGCAGAUAUCAGGAGGAACACCGGUGGCGAAGGCGGGUCUCUGGGCCGAUACUGACGCUGAGGAGCGAAAGCGUGGGGAGCGAACAGG
Molecule: ribosomal RNA, 254 nt
Filed under: uncultured bacterium
Lineage: Bacteria
Description: partial 16S ribosomal RNA
Rfam family: Bacterial small subunit ribosomal RNA
Source: RNAcentral